UACGUAGGGCGCGAGCGUUACUCGGAAUCACUGGGCAUAAAGGGCGUGUAGGUGGACGCGUAAGUCCGGUGUAAAAUCCCCCGGCUCAACCGGGGAAGGCCAUCGGAUACUGCGUGUCUUGAGUGCGGGAGGGGAGAGUGGAACUCUUGGUGGAGCGGUGAAAUGCGUAGAUAUCAAGAGGAACGCCGGUGGCGAAAGCGACUCUCUGGCCCGUUACUGACACUGAGGCGCGAAAGCUAGGGGAGCAAAC
This 250-nucleotide ribosomal RNA is filed under the name uncultured bacterium. RNAcentral's name for it is "partial 16S ribosomal RNA". It matches the Rfam family "Bacterial small subunit ribosomal RNA", at positions 524 to 773 of the family's 1533-position model. The record is from RNAcentral.